Cyprinus carpio (common carp) is the source of this 1508-nucleotide long non-coding RNA. RefSeq lists it as uncharacterized. The record is from RefSeq and is a predicted model, not a curated record. The transcript is spliced from 2 exons. Lineage: Eukaryota; Metazoa; Chordata; Actinopteri; Cypriniformes; Cyprinidae.
CGGGAGGCUUGUGACUGUCCCAUAGACUGCCAAGCUUUUACGGGUUUGGAACGACAUGGGGUAAGUGAUUAAUGACAAUAUUUUCACUUUGGGGUGGAGUAUCCCUUGAACGGGAUAUAAAUUGGAAACAUAUUUGUAUGUAGUUUUUUUUUUUGUAUUUACUUACUGCACUGAGUCUUUGUUUUUCUGUUCCUGUCUCUUUCUUCCCUCCAGUUCCUCCUGUUCAGAGGCGGCACAUGGAGUCGGUUCUGGGUUACUGGAUUUCAUCAUUUUUAGAGCAACCUCCACACAGCUCUCCGGGAUCUGAAUAUGAAACAAAAAAGAACAGUGCUACUAUUUGCUGAACUCACAGAAAAGUCAAUUCCGAUGGUCUCGUACUGGCGGUGGAUUCUGUCAGCCAGAUCAUCAAAGAGCCGGACGACUGAAGACUUCUCUAGAGACAUUGAGGGGUUCAUACCAGAACGCACAAUGGCAGGCCAUGUGAGAGCAAUGCAGUCCCAGUACUGCAGGUUAGCAAGGCAGAUCCCAGAGUGGUUCCCUAACAGACAGUACAAGGCACCCUGGAGAAGAGUAAAAAAGACAGACUAAAUAUGAUCCUACUCAAUUUUCAAAAGCUUGUCAUAUGUCAGAAUGAUCAACAGGAAGAGAAAGAUUCUUAGUUUCUUUCAGUGUAUAUUUAUUCCGAACUGUGUAAGACCUACUUUGAAUUGCUGCUGGGUGACGUCAGUACGGUCUGGGUCCAGAUACUCCAGCACUGCAGGGAUGAUGUCUCUGCAGCAUAAGCUGUAGGUUCCCAAUGCUGUGAACAGCAUGUUCUGAGCUUUACUCCUCACCUGAUGUAAAACAGGGACUGUUAAUGAUGUGUUCAUUGCUUUUGUGUGUGAAUACAUAAGUAUGUUCGUGUAUAUGGCCUUGUCAUACCUGACUGUACCUGCUGGUGGACAGUCUAAGCAGGUCAUUUAUCAAGUCCUGAUGAACGCUCCUGUAGCAACAUCCCUCCAUGGUCAGAUUUCUUAACUGAAACACACAGGCACAAAACACACUCAAAACUACUGAAAUCAUAACAAAACAUGCCGAAAAGCCACAAAAUAUGCAUUCUUGUUUUAUGAUUAUGAUCCCUAACCCAUCUCACGAAAACCUGUUCAGGUCAAUAAUUUUACCCUAAAAUAAAUUUUAGAGAAACAUUUUUUCAAUAGCUUUCAUGACACAUUUCACACAGUCUUCAUUGUCUUUAUGCAAUUUAUUAUAAGAUAUAUUAUUAGAAUGCAGUAAUAAAUAAAUCAAUAAAAUUAAAAAUAUAUGUCUGACAGGUUUUGUGAGAUUCACCCAAAUGCUCUAUAAAAUGUCAUUAUUAUUAUUAUUAUUAUUCUUAUGAGUUACCUCAUGUUGCAACAUGACUCUGUCUAUGAGUAGAGCUCUAAUGUGCUGUUUACUGCCAUGAAGCUGGAGAGAAGAGAGAGUGUCAGUCAACUACAUGUCAAAUAAAGAGAUUGGUAACAGAUAUUAAA